AGAAAACUGUGCAGUGGAGGCUCCUCCUCGGGUCCAGUACUUUUUUUUUUUUUCUCUCUGAAGAAUUCUGGCCCCAUUUCAGAAUGGAAAACAGAAGCAAUGGCUGGAUCCACUGAAGAUGGUUGCCACUGAACACAUGCAGAAGAGCAAAGAAGAUGCUGUCAACACCUCAUGGAGCAAUGUGGAAGAUUCCAACACAGAGCACAUUGCUGUAAACAGACCCUCCGAGCAACACAAGAGCGGACCGUGUGGGUGUGAAAUCCCGCAACCAUUCCUCCAAGGGGAGAAGGCGACACAGAAAUAGAAUUAAUGACCACACAACCCGCAACAUUUCCUCUGCAGGCAUGCGCAAUCUCAUUCGUCUCUGUUGUGACUGAGAUGUCUGUAAAGGAGGGUCCAGCUCGAGUUGAUUAAAGCAUCCUUGAGCUUCUCACGCUGCCAUUAGACUAAACCCGAUGCUUUUCUUGAAUUUUGUGCUGUUUCUGGGGACAGGGCUCUUGAUUUGGGGCAUGUUUGUGUGCGCAUGUGUGCGUGUGUGCAUGCGUGUGC
Meriones unguiculatus (Mongolian gerbil) is the source of this 549-nucleotide long non-coding RNA. RefSeq lists it as uncharacterized. Lineage: Eukaryota; Metazoa; Chordata; Mammalia; Rodentia; Muridae. The transcript has 3 exons. The record is from RefSeq and is a predicted model, not a curated record.